GACGAACGCUGGCGGCGUGCUUAACACAUGCAAGUCGAACGGAAAGGCCCUGCUUUUGUGGGGUGCUCGAGUGGCGAACGGGUGAGUAACACGUGAGUAACCUGCCCUUGACUUUGGGAUAACUUCAGGAAACUGGGGCUAAUACCGGAUAGGAGCUCCCGCUGCAUGGUGGGGGUGGGAAAGUUUCGGCGGGUGGGGAUGGACGCGCGGGUUACCGGCUUGUUGGUUGGGUAGUGGCUUACCAAGUAUUUGACGGGUAGCCGGCCUGUGAGGGUGACCGGCCACAUUGGGACUGAGGUACGGCCCAGACUCCAACGGGGGGCAGCGGUGGCGAAUAUUGCACAAUGGGCGGAAGCCUGAUGCAGAAACGCCGCGUGCGGAAUGACGGCCUUCGGGUUGUAAACCGCUUUCGCCUAUGACGAAGCGUGAGUGACGGUAAUGGGUAAAGAAGCACCGGCUAACUACGUG
RNAcentral lists this ribosomal RNA (468 nucleotides) under uncultured bacterium. RNAcentral describes it as "partial 16S ribosomal RNA". It matches the Rfam family "Bacterial small subunit ribosomal RNA", at positions 28 to 507 of the family's 1533-position model. The record is from RNAcentral.